Molecule: ribosomal RNA, 500 nt
Filed under: uncultured bacterium
Lineage: Bacteria
Description: partial 16S ribosomal RNA
Rfam family: Bacterial small subunit ribosomal RNA
Source: RNAcentral
AUUGAACGCUGGCGGAAUGCUUUACACAUGCAAGUCGAACGGCAGCACGGACUUCGGUCUGGUGGCGAGUGGCGAACGGGUGAGUAAUAUAUCGGAACGUGCCCAGUCGUGGGGGAUAACGUAGCGAAAGCUACGCUAAUACCGCAUACGAUCUACGGAUGAAAGCGGGGGAUCGCAAGACCUCGCGCGAUUGGAGCGGCCGAUAUCAGAUUAGGUAGUUGGUGAGGUAAAGGCUCACCAAGCCGACGAUCUGUAGCUGGUCUGAGAGGACGACCAGCCACACUGGGACUGAGACCCGGCCCAGACUCCUCCGGGAGGCAGCAGUGGGGAAUUUUGGACAAUGGACGCAAGUCUGAUCCAGCCAUUCCGCGUGCAGGACGAAGGCCUUCGGGUUGUAAACUGCUUUUGUACAGAACGAAAAGGUCUCUAUUAAUACUAGGGGCUCAUGACGGUACUGUAAGAAUAAGCACCGGCUAACUACGUGCCAGCCGCCGCCGUAA